RNAcentral lists this ribosomal RNA (483 nucleotides) under uncultured bacterium. RNAcentral's name for it is "partial 16S ribosomal RNA". It matches the Rfam family "Bacterial small subunit ribosomal RNA", at positions 30 to 507 of the family's 1533-position model. The record is from RNAcentral.
AUUGAACGCUGGCGGCAGGCCUAACACAUGCAAGUCGAGCGGAUGAAGGGAGCUUGCUCCUGGAUUCAGCGGCGGACGGGUGAGUAAUGCCUAGGAAUCUGCCUGGUAGUGGGGAUAACGUCCGGAAACGGGCGCUAAUACCGCCUACGUCCUGAGGGAGAAAGUGGGGGAGCUUCGGACCUCACGCGAUCAGAUGAGCCUAGGUCGGAGUAGCUAGUUGGUGGGGUAAAGGCCUACCAAGCCGACGAUCCGAUACUGGUCUGAGAGGAUGAUCAGUCACACUGGAACUGGGCCACGGUCCAGACUCCUACGGGAGGCAGCAGUGGGGAAUGUUGGACAGUGGGCGGAAGCCUGAUCCAGCCAUGCCGCGUGUGUGAAGAAGGUCUUCGGAUUGUAAAGCACUUUAAGUUGGGAGGAAGGGCAGUAAGUUAAUACCUUGCUGUUUUGACGUUACCAACAGAAUAAGCACCGGCUAACUUCGUG